Arabidopsis thaliana (thale cress) is the source of this 387-nucleotide long non-coding RNA. RefSeq annotates it as other RNA. The transcript has a single exon. The record is from RefSeq. NCBI's taxonomy places the organism in Eukaryota, Viridiplantae, Streptophyta, Magnoliopsida, Brassicales, Brassicaceae.
CCCAUAAAGAAAGCCCAGUCCAGGAAACAAAACCCUUAGAGAAAGUAAAUUUAAAGAUUGCCUUCCACCCAAAAGCCACGUGUGAUGUGAAGAAACAAAGUUGAAACACGUGGACUGAAGAAGCCUUAGUCGUCGCUGUUCAUCGCCGAACUGGUUAGCAACUCAGAGAACUCCAAAACCAUGGAAACCGCCAGAGCUUCAAGAGAAGUCUAUCAAUUUUUAAUUAGAGAACCCCACCAAACUUCAUCAGCAAAUCAGGAAAGGAAAGAUCUACCAAAGGCAAUUGACUCCCGAAAUCCAAGGAACAUCGACGUAGAGUAAGUCUUUGAGCUUUCAACAACACCUAAAAACAAACAAAAAAGCACUCGUCUCCAUAAAACGGUUAGA